GCUUAGCCCUAAACCCAGGUAGUUUAAUAACAAGACUAUUCGCCAGAGUACUACGAGCAACAGCUUAAAACUCAAAGGACUUGGCGGUGCUUUAUAUCCCUCUAGAGGAGCCUGUUCUGUAAUCGAUAAACCCCGAUAAACCUCACCGACCCUUGCUAAUACAGCCUAUAUACCGCCAUCUUCAGCAAACCCUAAGAAGGAACCAUAGUAAGCAUAAACAUACUACAUAAAAACGUUAGGUCAAGGUGUAGCCUAUGGGCCGGGAAGAAAUGGGCUACAUUUUCUAUGAUAGAAUACCCAAACGAAAAUUUUCGUGAAACCGAGAAUAGAAGGAGGAUUUAGUAGUAAAUUAAGAAUAGAGAGCUUAAUUGAAUCAGGCCAUGAAGCAC
Molecule: ribosomal RNA, 389 nt
Filed under: Aproteles bulmerae (Bulmer's fruit bat)
Lineage: Eukaryota; Metazoa; Chordata; Mammalia; Chiroptera; Pteropodidae
Description: partial 12S ribosomal RNA
Rfam family: Bacterial small subunit ribosomal RNA
Source: RNAcentral